UGGGCGUAAAGAGCUCGUAGGUGGUUUGUCGCGUUGUUCGUGAAAUCUCACGGCUUAACUGUGAGCGUGCGGGCGAUACGGGCAGACUUGAGUACUGCAGGGGAGACUGGAAUUCCUGGUGUAGCGGUGGAAUGCGCAGAUAUCAGGAGGAACACCGGUGGCGAAGGCGGGUCUCUGGGCAGUAACUGACGCUGAGGAGCGAAAGCGUGGGGAGCGAACAGGAUUAGAUACCCUGGUAGUCCACGCCGUAAACGGUGGGUACUAGGUGUGGGUUUCCUUCCUUGGGAUCCGUGCCGUAGCUAACGCAUUAAGUACCCCGCCUGGGGAGUACGGCCGCAAGGCUAAAACUCAAAGAAAUUGACGGGGGCCCGCACAAGCGGCGGAGCAUGUGGAUUAAUUCGAUGCAACGCGAAGAACCUUACCUGGGUUUGACAUGCACAGGACGCCGGCAGAGAUGUCGGUUCCCUUGUGGCCUGUGUGCAGGUGGUGCAUGGCUGUCGUCAGCUCGUGUCGUGAGAUGUUGGGUUAAGUCCCGCAACGAGCGCAACCCUUGUCUCAUGUUGCCAGCGGGUAAUGCCGGGGACUCGUGAGAGACUGCCGGGGUCAACUCGGAGGAAGGUGGGGAUGACGUCAAGUCAUCAUGCCCCUUAUGUCCAGGGCUUCACACAUGCUACAAUGGCCGGUACAAAGGGCUGCGAUGCCGCGAGGUUAAGCGAAUCCUUUUAAAGCCGGUCUCAGUUCGGAUCGGGGUCUGCAACUCGACCCCGUGAAGUCGGAGUCGCUAGUAAUCGC
This 792-nucleotide ribosomal RNA is filed under the name uncultured Mycobacterium sp. RNAcentral's name for it is "bacterial SSU rRNA". It matches the Rfam family "Bacterial small subunit ribosomal RNA", at positions 555 to 1345 of the family's 1533-position model. Lineage: Bacteria; Bacillati; Actinomycetota; Actinomycetes; Mycobacteriales; Mycobacteriaceae. The record is from RNAcentral.